ACCCGCUUGUCGGGGUGCCGAGGAUGCGAAUCCAAGGCUGAGAGGGCUUCAUGGCCUAACCCGUUGAACCUGAUCGGGGUCAUCCCCGCGUAGGAAACAGCACUCGGCCACCG
Molecule: non-coding RNA, 113 nt
Filed under: Rhizobacter sp. Root29
Lineage: Bacteria; Pseudomonadati; Pseudomonadota; Betaproteobacteria; Burkholderiales; Sphaerotilaceae
Also listed under: 1 other name
Description: TPP riboswitch aptamer (THI element)
Rfam family: TPP riboswitch aptamer (THI element)
About the family: Vitamin B(1) in its active form thiamin pyrophosphate (TPP) is an essential coenzyme that is synthesised by coupling of pyrimidine and thiazole moieties in bacteria.
Source: Rfam by way of RNAcentral